Molecule: transfer RNA, 75 nt
Filed under: Pseudomonadota bacterium
Lineage: Bacteria; Pseudomonadati; Pseudomonadota
Also listed under: 1 other name
Description: tRNA-Arg
Rfam family: tRNA
About the family: Transfer RNA (tRNA) molecules are approximately 80 nucleotides in length. Their secondary structure includes four short double-helical elements and three loops (D, anti-codon, and T loops). Further hydrogen bonds mediate the characteristic L-shaped molecular structure. tRNAs have two regions of fundamental functional importance: the anti-codon, which is responsible for specific mRNA codon recognition, and the 3' end, to which the tRNAs corresponding amino acid is attached (by aminoacyl-tRNA synthetases). tRNAs cope with the degeneracy of the genetic code in two manners: having more than one tRNA (with a specific anti-codon) for a particular amino acid; and 'wobble' base-pairing, i.e. permitting non-standard base-pairing at the 3rd anti-codon position.
Source: RNAcentral
GCCCUCGUAGCUCAGUGGAUAGAGCGCGGGUCUCCGGAACCCGAAGCGUAGGUUCGAUUCCUAUCGAGGGCACCA